Molecule: long non-coding RNA, 2960 nt
Organism: Syzygium oleosum
Lineage: Eukaryota; Viridiplantae; Streptophyta; Magnoliopsida; Myrtales; Myrtaceae
Exons: 3
Source: RefSeq, a predicted model, not a curated record
CAGAACUGCAUUAUCGACAAAAUCAGAGAUAUGGUCAGUUUUACUGGAUGUGUUCUGUUGGCAAUAGUUCGGAAUUGUCCUAAAACUUUUGCUUACCUUGAAAGAUGAUCAGAGACAUUCUGAGUCAGGAAUACUCCAAUCACCGAGUCAACAACCGAUCCUUUCCAUCGAGAAAAGCGUCUGUCACCUGCGAGAGGGACAUCUCAUGAUGAUUGUCGAGAAGAUUACAGCAGCAGCAUUGGCCUUUCUGCUCUGGUGCAACUAGAAGUGCCUAUUAACAUUUGCGCGAUGGAUCAAGAAUCUACAGGAACUAUGCAAAGCACUUAACCUUGAACGAGAUGCAUUCUGGCGAUGAAUGAAUUUGCUCGUCCAUGGAACACUUCCCUCUCUUCUUCCCACCAUUUUUCCUUGUCCUUGUGAUUUUCUUCAAGUCCACUUCCUUCCUUACCCAUUAGAAGAUUCCAUACCCUGUUAGUUUCUGGGUCAAGGUCUACUUUCGGCCGUGGUUUGCGUUUCCUGCCUUCAUAGGGAACAAUCAUGCCAGCUCCAGUAUAGGGCACAAUUGCAUUUUGCUCUGCUUCCUUCAGUUUGCUGCCUUCUCCAUUGAGAUUGAGCACCUCCAAUCUGUAUAUGAUCUCGUCAAGAACAUUGGGGUCUUUUUCCAUCGAUGAGCUGGAACCUGAAUAGCAUGAAGAGACUGAUAAUUGUGAUGGACUCUAGCAAAAUAUACUGGCUUUGCAAGCGCUUACAGUUUGGGAUCCGGGAAAUACCUCUUGUCAUUGCACCAGUCUGUUGAUUUUCAUGGCAUGGAUCCUUCUGCUCCUUUUGGAACUUCUCCGCGGAAGGACUCUGCUUGGUGGGAGCUGCAGUCUUCUUUGUUAAAUGAUUUGCCUGCUGCUUUUUUGGCCUUCCUUUCUUUACUGGUUGAACAGUAUGUUCUGGAGCUUUUUGGCUUUGAUGAUACUCCUGACAAGCUGUUUUUGGCAUGUCUUUCACUUGCAAUCUGCUGGUUUCCUCCUCCCUCUGUUUGUGAGAAUGCUGUUCAGCAGAAAUUUGAUGCUCUCUUGAAACAUUACCCAAAGCAAGAGACGGUAGAUUCCAUCCAAUGGUACGUUUCUGCAGCCCAUCUUUUUCAUUGUGGUAAAUGCUUCCAGAAGCAAUGCAGGGGUUCAACAUCUCAUUGUUCAUCUGUAACGGUCUUCUGCAUGUGGCUUGACCACAUACACCUCCUACAUGCACUUGGCUUGAAGAAUCUAAGAUCGCUGGAGCACAAGAUGAGAGACUGUUAAUAUCAAGUGUUUUCUCUGCUUUCUUCCUCUUCUGGGUCUCUGAGUAAGGCGAACUGAGAAUAUUACUGUUGCAGAAUUCCCCAGUCCGGACCAUUUGUUGCAGCCAUGUGGGCAUUGAAUUUGCACGAGGAAGAUAUGUCUGCUCGUUGUUUUGAUGAUAAACCCUCUUUAGUCCCCUUGCCUCACUGGAGUUGGCAAAAAUUAAUGGUGCUGAUUGAGGUACUGCUUGCCUAGACAGCUCAAGGUUGCGAAGUCCUGGAAUGUUCACUUCUCUUGGUUCUGCAAAUACAAAUUGCUGCUGCUUGAGAAGCUGUCCAUCUUUCGAACCCAUCUGGCAAGUAAUUGCAAUGGCCCUAUCCAUGUUUUCUCGAGUGGCUAUUCUAUGUUCCAGUUGGUCUGUUGUUCUGGCUGGCAGGCACUGACCGGCCUGCCUUUGUAGCAAUGGAAAAAAAGUAGCGCGCCUUUGAUUUGUUCCAAACAAACUCACAGCUUCCAGUUGAUUCAUCAUGGUUGAUCUGUCAUGGUGACCUAUCUGCUGAGCUGAUGUUAUUCCAGACAGAAUGUUUACUCUCCUGCUGAGUUCUGAGGCUUGUGAAUCUACAGGCAAGCGAAAACCCUCCAUAUUCCUCAACUCCUCUGGUCCAGCUACUGUGCUUGCCUCAGCUUUCUUUUCUAAGUCAAAAUUCAAAGCUCUCCUACAGGAUUUUACAGCAGUUCCGUCAUUGCCAACUGCAGUCUCCUGUGCAGCAUCUGCCUGUUGACUUGCUGAUUCUUUCAGGCCUUUCUUGCGUACGUACUUCCGCUUUCCAGAUGGAUUCUCAUUUCCCUUUUGUUUUACCUGAGCUUCAGGUUUUCUAGUGCUCUUUGGCUUACCUUCUACAAUCACCUUCGGUCUGUGCUUUUUUCGCUUGGGUGCUUUCUGCUGGGGUGUUGUAUUAAGGUCAAUGCCUUGGUUGCUUUCUACGAUGGCAUCCUUCUUCUGCUUGAAAGAUUCCACAAUAUUCUCCAAGAGUUCGUCUGAAUGGUUUGUUUCACUUGUCAAUGAGAACAGCUUUCCCUGCUUGUCCUUCUCUUGGAUUGUGCUUUCAUAUGGUGAGGAUUCAAGUAAUGCAGAAAACUGGCUGUCCUCAUAUGGUGUUGCUGGUGCAAACAAUAAGUUGGUCAUCCUUGGUGGGGAGCUGACUUCUGGUGGAGUGGAGUUUAGAUCAUAGGUCGGUCGCGAAGGCAAAGGGAAUUCAUCUGUAGAAAACAUAGUUCAAUCUUCACUGUUAGCGGAUGCACAGUAGAAUCUUUGACGGAAUGAUAUUCUUAAGCUCAUAAAAUACCAGGCACGAACAAAUAAGGCAGCAACCAAGCUUCGUCCUACUGAGUCAGCUAAACGAAUUUUUUAUGGUAUUGCACUGUCUGGAGCAACAUAGCAUACACAACUUCAAAAUUUUCAGUGUCACUGCAUUCUUGUUAGCGAAUUCUGAGGUAGAAUAGCAUAAAACAGAAAAAAAGACGGUUGUAUCUGUUGACACCAAAGGAUGCAUAGCCAGGAGAACCUCUACUGUGGGGAGGAUGCUACUCAGUCCAGAGGAUGCAAGUUUCCUCGGUUUCAGUUGAUUUAUGAAGUAACUAUCUCGAUGGAGUGACUUAUAUGUUUCUCUACAGAAGCAUAUCCUGAUGAAA